Molecule: long non-coding RNA, 886 nt
Organism: Phyllopteryx taeniolatus (common seadragon)
Lineage: Eukaryota; Metazoa; Chordata; Actinopteri; Syngnathiformes; Syngnathidae
Exons: 3
Source: RefSeq, a predicted model, not a curated record
CCCAUAUUUCGUAUGGACACAUUGCAGACGGAUGCAGUGAUAGGACACUGAUAACAGUGAUAGGACACUGAUACUUUGCCAAAACGACAGAGCAGCGUCUGGCACAUCCAUCCAUCCGUUUUCGAUCCAGUGAUCCCCUUAUUCAACUAUUCCCGGAGUAUAAGGACCAAGCCCAGCCACAAAGAGCGAAAAACUGGUCGCGGGGCGCUGGAGCCUAUCCCAGCUGAAAGGCGAACUACACCCUGAACUGGUCGCCACUCAGCUGCAGGGCACAUAUAGACAUGGACAACCAUUCGCGCCGUCACUGAGUGGGAACUGAACCCACGCUGCCCGCACCAAAGCCAGGCAAGUGUACCACUACACCAUCAGUGGCAACAUACAGUAAGGAUUAUGGAGGCCACUGUGCUCUUAGGAACCUUACGUGUAGCAGAACUUUCUUUUGUAACCUUGGCCAGAUUUGUGCCUUGUCACAAUUCUGUCUCUGAUCUCUUCAGGCAGUUCCUUUGACCUCAUGAUUCUCAUUUGCUCUGACAUGCACUGUGAGCUGUAAGGUGUGUGGCUUUCCUAAUCAAGUCCAAUCAGUAUAAUCAAACACAGCUGGACUCCAUUGAAGGCGUAGAACCAUCUCAAGGAUGAUCAGAAGAAAUGGACAGCACCUGAGUUAAAUAUGAGUGUCACAGCAAACGGUCUGAAUACUUAUGGCUGUGUGAUAUUUCACUUUUUCUUUUUUUAAUAAAUGUGCAAAAAUGUCAACAAUUCCGUUUUUUUCUGGCAAUAUGGGUUGCUGUGUGUAAAACCCGAAUUUCAAUAAAGUUGGGACCUUCUGUUAAACACAAAUAAAAACAGAAUACAAUGAUUUGCAAAUCAUGUUCAACUUAUAUUGAAU